This 74-nucleotide transfer RNA is filed under the name Marmota monax (woodchuck). Its description in RNAcentral is "tRNA.Ala". The stretch from base 6 to 64 matches the Rfam family "tRNA", at positions 8 to 63 of the family's 71-position model. Rfam says of the family: Transfer RNA (tRNA) molecules are approximately 80 nucleotides in length. Lineage: Eukaryota; Metazoa; Chordata; Mammalia; Rodentia; Sciuridae. The record is from RNAcentral.
GGAUAUAGCUCAGUUGGUAGAGUGCUUGCCUUGCAAGCAUCAAGGCCCUGGGUUCAAUCCCCAGAGCGUGUUCG